RNAcentral lists this ribosomal RNA (481 nucleotides) under uncultured Methanolinea sp. Its description in RNAcentral is "bacterial SSU rRNA". It matches the Rfam family "Archaeal small subunit ribosomal RNA", at positions 857 to 1338 of the family's 1478-position model. Lineage: Archaea; Methanobacteriati; Methanobacteriota; Methanomicrobia; Methanomicrobiales; Methanoregulaceae. The record is from RNAcentral.
CAAAGGAAUUGACGGGGAGCACCACAACGGGUGGAGCUUGCGGUUUAAUUGGAUUCAACGCCGGAAAUCUUACCGGGACCGACAGCAAUAUGAAGGCCAGGCUGAAGACUUUGCCGGAUUAGCUGAGAGGUGGUGCAUGGCCGUCGUCAGUUCGUACUGUGAAGCAUCCUGUUAAGUCAGGCAACGAGCGAGACCCACGCCCACAGUUGCCAGCGUACUCUCUGGAGUGACGGGUACACUGUGGGGACCGCCGCUGCUAAAGAGGAGGAAGGAAUGGGCAACGGUAGGUCAGCAUGCCCCGAAUUAUCUGGGCUACACGCGGGCUACAAUGGGUGGGACAAUGGGUAUCGACACCGAAAGGUGAAGGCAAUCUCCUAAACCCAUCCGUAGUUCGGAUUGUGGGCUGCAACUCGCCCACAUGAAGCUGGAAUCUGUAGUAAUCGUGUCUCAAAAUGGCACGGUGAAUAUGUCCCUGCUCCUU